RNAcentral lists this ribosomal RNA (492 nucleotides) under uncultured bacterium. RNAcentral's name for it is "partial 16S ribosomal RNA". It matches the Rfam family "Bacterial small subunit ribosomal RNA", at positions 29 to 507 of the family's 1533-position model. The record is from RNAcentral.
AGUGAACGCUGGCGGUAGGCCUAACACAUGCAAGUCGAACGGCAGCACAGUAAGAGCUUGCUCUUACGGGUGGCGAGUGGCGGACGGGUGAGGAAUACAUCGGAAUCUACUUUUUCGUGGGGGAUAACGUAGGGAAACUUACGCUAAUACCGCAUACGACCUACGGGUGAAAGCAGGGGAUCUUCGGACCUUGCGCGAUUGAAUGAGCCGAUGUCGGAUUAGCUAGUUGGCGGGGUAAAGGCCCACCAAGGCGACGAUCCGUAGCUGGUCUGAGAGGAUGAUCAGCCACACUGGAACUGAGACACGCUCCAGACUCCUACGGUAGGCCGCAGUGGGGAAUAUUGGACAAUGGUCGCAAGCCUGAUCCAGCCAUACCGCGUGUGUGAAGAAGGCCUUCGGGUUGUAAAGCCCUUUUGUUGGGAAAGAAAAGCAGCAGGUUAAUACCCCGCUGUUCUGACGGUACCCAAAGAAUAAGCACCGGCUAACUUCGUG